This is a long non-coding RNA of Cebus imitator (Panamanian white-faced capuchin), 993 nucleotides long. RefSeq lists it as uncharacterized. NCBI's taxonomy places the organism in Eukaryota, Metazoa, Chordata, Mammalia, Primates, Cebidae. The record is from RefSeq and is a predicted model, not a curated record. The transcript is spliced from 6 exons.
AGUUGCUGCAUGACUUGGAGAGAAACCAUUAGUUACCCCAGAGAUUCAGCAAGGUUUUCAUAAAGUGAAGCCGACUGAUGCCCAUUACUGAUCACCACACCUCUUAAAGAGGAAUGUCAGAAAUUCUCCACCUCCACCUGAGCUGUGAAGAGGCAGGUUAGAGGCAGGCUCCCUUCGUGCAGUACCGCAGAUUAAAGAUGAAAGAGGAUUUGCUGCACAAAUUAUCCAGGGAUCAUCUGCUGGAAGGAUGGAAGGGAGAGGCUGAGUGGCUUUAACAGGACGGUGAAGCUUUGCCUGUGGCUGAGGACAGUGGAGAGGGCCUCAGGAGAGGCCAACUCAGGCAUGACCCAGGCCCAGCUGGGCCACUCUUCCUCUGAAAAGCAGGCCCCUCCCCUGAGCCUCAGCUGAAUUCCAAGUGUGGACACAGACACAUCUCAAAAGGCAGCCCAGCCAGCUCAUCCUCAGCUGUGGCUGGAAUCCCAGCUCUUCUCUGGCACCUGCUGCCCAGGCUCCAGAGUACCCUGUGUGUCCUGAGGCAGCCCUUUCCAGCCCUCACCCCAGCUGUUCUUCAUCUCCACUCAGGAAGCAGCUUUCAACCCUGCAAGCCGUCUUUACUACCUUCAAUUGAAAAGAUGAGCUCUGGAGUGACAAACAUGGAUGAUCUGUGGGAGUCCUCAGAUGCUGAUCGAGCUGUCACACGGGGCCCUUCUCUGGGCUGUCUUAUAGUCUGCAGAGACACUGCUGCUUCUGUGCUCUGGGAGAGAGGGACUCCUUGGAGAUCUGAUCUCAGUAGUAGUCAUAAUCCUUUGGAUGGGUUCAGUUUGUACUGCUUCAUCUUUUGGAUUCUAGAAAUUCUCAGGGACUCAUCCAGAGAAGGAAACAGCCAGAAGAUCCUAUGAAGACAAGGUCAAACCAAAUAUGCUGUGUUAACCCCAGUUUUAAUAAGGUACAAAGUUGCCCCAAUUUUGUUUAAAACUGUACUGUGUACAAGUU